Molecule: transfer RNA, 66 nt
Filed under: Anabolia bimaculata
Lineage: Eukaryota; Metazoa; Arthropoda; Insecta; Trichoptera; Limnephilidae
Description: tRNA-Leu
Source: RNAcentral
AUUAUUUUGGCAGAAAAAUGCAUUAAAUUUAGAAUUUAAAUAUAUGAUUUAUUAUCAUAAAUAAUA